RNAcentral lists this ribosomal RNA (300 nucleotides) under uncultured bacterium. RNAcentral's name for it is "bacterial SSU rRNA". It matches the Rfam family "Bacterial small subunit ribosomal RNA", at positions 399 to 691 of the family's 1533-position model. The record is from RNAcentral.
GCGUGUGCGAAGAAGGCCUUCGGGUUGUAAAGCACUUUUGUUUGGAAAGAAAUCAGACUGGUUAAUACCCGGUUUGGAUGACGGUACCAAUCGAAUAAGCACCGGCUAACUACGUGCCAGCAGCCGCGGUAAUACGUAGGGUGCAAGCGUUAAUCGGAAUUACUGGGCGUAAAGCGUGCGCAGGCGGCUAUGUAAGACAGAUGUGAAAUCCCCGGGCUCAACCUGGGAAUUGCAUUUGUGACUGCAUGGCUAGAGUGUGUCAGAGGGAGGUGGAAUUCCACGUGUAGCAGUGAAAUGCGU